Molecule: microRNA precursor, 144 nt
Filed under: Hordeum vulgare
Lineage: Eukaryota; Viridiplantae; Streptophyta; Magnoliopsida; Poales; Poaceae
Description: microRNA MIR1122
Rfam family: MIR1120/MIR1122 microRNA precursor family
Source: RNAcentral
GAUCUACUCCCUCCGUCCCAAAAUAAGUGACUCAAAAAUGACUCAAAUUUGCAUUUGAGUCACUUAUUUUGGGACGGAGGGAGUACUCAAAAAUGACUCAAAUUUGCAUUUGAGUCACUUAUUUUGGGACGGAGGGAGUACAAC